GAUGAACGCUGGCGGCGUGCCUAAUACAUGCAAGUCGAGCGAACAGACGAGGAGCUUGCUCCUUUGACGUUAGCGGCGGACGGGUGAGUAACACGUAGGUAACCUACCUAUAAGACGGGGAUAACUUCGGGAAACCGGAGCUAAUACCGGAUAAUAUUUCGAACCGCAUGGUUCGAUAGUGAAAGAUGGCUUUGCUAUCACUUAUAGAUGGACCUGCGCCGUAUUAGCUAGUUGGUAAGGUAACGGCUUACCAAGGCAACGAUACGUAGCCGACCUGAGAGGGUGAUCGGCCACACUGGAACUGAGACACGGUCCAGACUCCUACGGGAGGCAGCAGUAGGGAAUCUUCCGCAAUGGGCGAAAGCCUGACGGAGCAACGCCGCGUGAGUGAUGAAGGUCUUCGGAUCGUAAAACUCUGUUAUUAGGGAAGAACAAACGUGUAAGUAACUGUGCACGUCUUGACGGUACCUAAUCAGAAAGCCACGGCUAACUACGUG
This 497-nucleotide ribosomal RNA is filed under the name uncultured bacterium. RNAcentral's name for it is "partial 16S ribosomal RNA". It matches the Rfam family "Bacterial small subunit ribosomal RNA", at positions 28 to 507 of the family's 1533-position model. The record is from RNAcentral.